RNAcentral lists this long non-coding RNA (737 nucleotides) under Piliocolobus tephrosceles (Ugandan red Colobus). RNAcentral's name for it is "lncRNA (ENSPTEG00000026742.1)". Lineage: Eukaryota; Metazoa; Chordata; Mammalia; Primates; Cercopithecidae. The record is from RNAcentral.
CUCUCAGAGGGCCUAGGAUGCUGAGGUCAAUGCCCCCUGCCCAGCUAGGGCCAGGUGGGAGGGGCAGGAAGAGCCUGAGAAGGCCCUUUUGGAGAUGCAGAAGCCGAGGUCAGGACUGACAAGAUGGAUCUGGGAGAGGAGCCUGGAAACCAGCUUGAAUGGAGAGGGCCUGAUGGGGGCCUCACCUGGCCUGAGACGUCCCCUUCCCACAGCUCCAGGCGUCUGCUGAGGAAUCCUCCCUCAUCAUCCUGGCCUGGAACCCAGCAUUGUGUGGAGUCCUUUGGGACCAGUUUGAGCAGAGCCUCCGGUCGAGCUACCCUCCCUACCUGCCAGCCAGACAGCACCUUGCUAGGGGAUCACCUCCCGCCUGUUCCCCUUCCUCCUGAGCUGCCUAAAGGGGAGGGAGCCGAGACCCUCGGGCGUGGCACCACAGGAGAACCCAGAGGCCACGCUCUUCCUUUUCCUGCCGGCAACAGUCCUGAGCGCCAGCUUCCCACCUCAGAGACUUUGAGAACCAGAGUCCACCCACCUGAGGGCCUCCUUGACCCUCCCUUACCCCGUGCCCAUGGGAGCCGCAGGACCACCAAGCGGAGAGGCGGUCUGCAAGGAGAUGGCCCCUCCCUACCUCCCUGCGAAGAAUAAAUUCGGGCUGCAGAUGCCCCUCGGGCUCCGCAGGGAGGAGCCUCACUCGCCACUCCAGCUUCAGGCUCUGCCUUCCUGAUCCUAACACUCUCUAC